GGUCCCACUUUCUCUCUCCUACGUGGGUGUCUAUCUGAAGAGAAAGCUCUCUCCAUUUUUGUAGCAUGUUAAUUCUGCUUAAAAAAAUUCUACGUGGUUUGAAUGUACGUGCCUAUCUGAACUCUUGCCACUAAUCCCAAACUCUUCCUCUUACAACUGAACGUGGAGUCAUGAACUCUUGCAACUUAUUACAAACUCUUCCACGUACUUUUUUUCAAUUUCAAACUGAAAUCAAAAUCUAAUUAAUUAUCGUCUCUCCUCUUUUCGAAUCCUCCAAUCUCUCAAAGAUCCUCUAUCAUCUGUUAAUCUCUUUAUUCUAAUUCUGAAUCACUCUUGCACAAAUCAAAUAUAAUUCACUACGGUAUCUAUUAAUUGAGGUAAUCUUCUUUUCUAUAUUUUUUGUUGAAUGUAAUUUGUGGAUUUGUUGUUCAGUUAUACUGAUUAUAGGGAUCCCCUGAUUAUAUUCAUUUUUGUGCAUCUUCAUAUUACUAUAUUAGUUGUUAAUAAAUUUAUCAUAAUUUUGAAUAAAACCUAAUUUAGCCUAUAUUAGUUGUUCAAUUACUGAUUAUAUUCAUUGUUUUGUACAUCUUUUUAUUAGUUGCUAAUUUAACCUAAUUGUGAAUCAAAAUUCCAAAGUAUUGAGAAACAAUUAUCAUUGUAGUUGUAUUAUCACUCAAAAUUUGAGACUACUGUAUUCUGUAAGGUAACUCUUCCUGAAACCACCAUAGUUUUUUUUUUUUUUUUUUUUAAUGUAUCAUAGUUGUUUAUUAGAACUUUAGUAGGACUAUCAGCCACUAUAUGCUUAAAUUCCAACCUCUCAAUUCUUUUGAAAUUUUGUAGUUCUUCAAUCAUAAAGAGUCACAUGGAACGCUUCACUAGCUGCUGCUUAUAUGGGACGAUCCUACUUCAACAAGCAUCCCAGGUUAUGAAACGGUAAUUUACCAGCUCUUUCUGUAUCAAUGAUUCGGCUUUAUUCUAUUCUCGGAAGCAAAUGGAUGAAAGGUGUAUAAUUUUUUUACAUAGAACUCCUGAACAUCUUUAGGUUCAAUAUCUACAAUGAUAAUUAUUGACUAGAUUGCUUGCUACAUCAUUAAAGUGUUCUUUGAGUGUAAGUUUGUGAAUAAAGAUUCUGAUAUUCAUACUCAAAGUAGGUUUAUUGCCUCCAAGAAGCACUCUUCGGUGCAGGUGAUACUUACUCCCCUAUCUGCUGGAAAACAAAUUCCACUUAUUAGAUUGUGUACUUGAAAAGGUUAGAUUGGUAAUUUACAUGAGGCUUUCCUUUCAAAUUGGUCGACAAAAUGGACCCCCACUCACUACAAAUUGCUCUAUAUUUUUCUCGCUUUCUUCCAACUCUUGCUUUUCAGACAAGUAAUGAAUCUUACCGGAAAAAAAUGUUUGGAUCUUGAUCCAUUAUAAAUCUUAUUCAAAAGUCAGUCUAUAUAAUUCUAUAAUUCAAAUGGUAACACCAUUCAGUGUUAUGUUGUGACUGUUCUAUGCUUCCUCAAGCCUGAUAGAUGUAUGCUCUUGACUUAUUAACAUUGUAGGGUGCAUCAUUGAAUCCAUAUACGUAUACCUGAUAUAUGCACCUAGGCCAACCAAGGUUUGUUUUAAUCUCACUCUCUAGCUUUUGUCUUUGUUGGAUGUUUCUUGGCUCAUAAUUACUGUAGGUAUAAGUGUAUUUGUUGCUCCUCUUAUUAUUAUGUCUUUUAUUGCUCAAUGCACUUUUGACCCUAUCUUUUUUUUUUUUUUUUGGUCAAUAAAAGAAUUUUAUUAAUUGUGAGAGUAAUUUUCAUCUUCUUUUUUUCUUAAAUUAUUUUUUCGUUUAUACAAGUAGUAUAGGAUUGGACUACGGUCAGCAAAAAACUUCUUAUGUGACAUAUGUGUUGGCAUUUGUUUUGCAGAGGCAUGUAAUAACAACUAAGAGUGUGCAGGCAGUUCAAACCACUAUCUCUGUUCUUUUUCCUUACUCUUUGUUUAAUUCUGUGUUUCUAACAUGAUGUCUAAUAUCUCAUAAUCCCCUUAUUAGCUAUAUACUGGGUUGACCGGUUAAGAAUUGUAGAUCUUGCUUUCAUGGUGAUUUUUGCUCCCAAGUAUUAUGGCAUUUAAUGUUCGCAACUAUUGUUGUUAUACAUGAGACUUGAAGCGAUAUAUGUGAAUAAGACCAAAUAGUUUGUUGUUGUCUUUGAGGUGGCCUCUAUACCUAAUACAUCGGUUUACUUCUUUUUAUUUGCUUCAUGAGAAGAUUAUUCAUACUUGCGUCUUUUUUAACAUAAAUAUAGUUUCUCAUUGUU
Molecule: long non-coding RNA, 2291 nt
Filed under: Aquilegia coerulea
Lineage: Eukaryota; Viridiplantae; Streptophyta; Magnoliopsida; Ranunculales; Ranunculaceae
Description: long non-coding RNA (ACOE_LNC001943)
Source: RNAcentral